GGGGGUGACAGGCUUCGACGGGGAUUCAUGAGGCGAGCCGAUGCAUGCCAGGAACCAUGUAACCUGUUAACUGCAUGGAAAAGUUAACUGCAAAUAAUCAAGAAUUUGCACUAGCUGCUUAAGUCAGCUAGCGUCUUUGGGUAGUCAAGCCUGCGGACUUCUCAAAGGCGUCACUUUAGCGGGCUGGUUGCCUGAAAUUUCUCAGGCUCAGGCAAUGAGAUAAACUGAGAUAGCAAUGUUUGGUGCUUGUUGUUUCCACUACCACACAGAGCGAAAACUUCAAAGUGAAACAACUACGCAUGUAGAUUCGACCGUUGAAGGUCUUCGGACAAGGGUUCGAUUCCCUUCACCUCCAUAC
RNAcentral lists this transfer-messenger RNA (358 nucleotides) under Blastocatellia. RNAcentral's name for it is "JAEUQL01 sp016789295 Standard tmRNA". It matches the Rfam family "transfer-messenger RNA". Rfam says of the family: Bacterial tmRNA, also known as 10Sa RNA or SsrA, is named for its dual tRNA and mRNA-like properties. Its role is to liberate the mRNA from a stalled ribosome. Lineage: Bacteria; Pseudomonadati; Acidobacteriota. The record is from RNAcentral. RNAcentral also lists the same sequence under 1 other name.